GGACAGGAGGGGACACUGGAUCCCAAAAAGGGACAUGGGACCUCCCCCACAGGGAUGUGGGACCCCCCCAAAGGGACCAAAGGGACAGGAGGGGACAUGGGACCCCCAAAAGGACAUGGACCCCUCCCCAAAGGGACAUGGGACCCCCAAAUGGGCAUAGGACCCCCCCAAAGGGAUGUGGGACAUCCCAAAGGGACAGGAGGGGACAUGGGACCCCCAAAGGGNNNNNNNNNNNNNNGGGACCUAAGGGACAGGAGGGGACAUGGGACCCCCCCAAAAGGACAUGGACCCCCCCCAAAGGGAUGUGGGACCCCCAAAUGGACAUAGGAUCCCCCCAAAGGGAUGUGGGACAUCCUAAAGGGACAGGAGGGAACAUGGGACCCCAAAAAGGGACAUGGGACCCCCAAAGGGAUGUGGGACCCCCCCCAAAAGGAUAUGGGACACCCUAAAGGGACCAAAGGGACAGGAGGGGACACGGAACCCCUAAAAGGACCCCCCCCAAAAAGGAUCUAAGGAACAAAAGGAGACACUGAACCCCUGACAGGGAUGUAAGGAACAAGAAGGGAUCAGGACCCCCCCCCUCGAAAAAGACAAAAA
This 597-nucleotide long non-coding RNA is filed under the name Phasianus colchicus (ring-necked pheasant). RNAcentral describes it as "lncRNA (ENSPCLG00000017507.1)". Lineage: Eukaryota; Metazoa; Chordata; Aves; Galliformes; Phasianidae. The record is from RNAcentral.